CGCAUCUGUGCAUGCAGCAUAUCAAUAAGCGGAGGAAAAGAAACUAACAAGGAUUCCCUCAGUAACGGCGAGUGAAGCGGGAAGAGCUCAAAUUUGAAAUCUUGAAAGGUCACCUUUCACGAAUUGUAGUUUAAAGAAGUGUUUUCUGUUACGAUCGUAAUAUAAGUUCUUUGGAAUAGGACAUCACAGAGGGUGAGAAUCCCGCUAUGAUUGACUAUUUGUAACUUUGUGAUACACUUUCAAAGAGUCGGAUUGUUUGGGAAUGCAGUCCCAAAACUGGGAGGUAAAUUUCAUUCUAAAGCUAAAUAUUGGCGAGAGACCGAUAGCGAACAAGUACCGUGAGGGAAAGAUGAAAGGAACUUUGAAAAGAGAGUUAAAUAGUACGUGAAAUUGUCAAAAGGGAAGCGUUUAACACCAGUGUUGUUUUCUGAAAAUCAACCUCUGUUAGCUUUAUGCAUGUUUGUUUAGACCUAAUCAGCUAUCUUGCAUGUUCUAUUGUUUGCAGUGGUGCACUUUUCAGUUUACAGGUCAACAUCAGUUUUUUUACCGUAAAAAAGUUAAAGAAAGGUAGCUCAUGGCUCCGGUCGUGAGUGUUAUAGUCUUUUUCCUAUGCGGUAGGAGAGACUGAGGUCUGCAGUGUAGGCUAUUUGGCUAGAUACUCAGGUGCUAUGUGAUACCAUUUCAUAAACAACUUGUUGAUUAUGUUUUGUCUAUUGCAUACUCGCUUGUACUAUCAUACCUACGCUUAGGAUGUUGAAGUCAUCGUAUCGCGC
RNAcentral lists this ribosomal RNA (773 nucleotides) under uncultured Neocallimastigales. RNAcentral's name for it is "partial large subunit ribosomal RNA". It matches the Rfam family "Eukaryotic large subunit ribosomal RNA", at positions 26 to 645 of the family's 3401-position model. The record is from RNAcentral. Lineage: Eukaryota; Fungi; Neocallimastigomycota; Neocallimastigomycetes; Neocallimastigales.